CUUAAAUUGGAUGAAAAUUCAUCGCGAGAUAGAUUAUCGAGCGCUGGAUUAACUGACUCCAACUGUAUUAUAUGCUAACUUAUUUAAUAGGCGUUCUCGUGUCCUUACUGUGAAAAAACAUUUCGUUUUAAAUCCCAAUACGAAGACCAUCCGAUUAAACACUGGAAUGAUAAAAAUUACGUGUGUGUCUUUUGCGACGAACGAUCGGCAGUUUUCCACGUAAGGACUAAACACGAACGAAAAAUGGAUUCCAAAAUAGAAAAAUUCGCAGUAUUCGUAGUCGCAGCCGCUGUAGCAGUAAUUUCUGUGAUGGUUAUCAAAGAUCAAGCGACACCAUCGAUAAUAUCAAGUAUUCUGUGUGUAGCGUCUUUGCAAACAAUAAUUUUGGUAGACGAUCAAACAGCAGUUUGUUAGAAAACGUUACGGUUUAUUUAUCGUUUCAAAUCUCAAUACGAAGACCGUGUCAUCAAACAUUCGGAUGAAAAAAAUUAUAUGUGCGUCUUUUGCGACAGUCGUUUCAAGUACACCCCUAUAACACUGUUGAUUUUUCCGUUUUAUACGAAUUCCAUGUUG
Molecule: long non-coding RNA, 573 nt
Organism: Centruroides sculpturatus (bark scorpion)
Lineage: Eukaryota; Metazoa; Arthropoda; Arachnida; Scorpiones; Buthidae
Exons: 3
Source: RefSeq, a predicted model, not a curated record